This is a long non-coding RNA of Lates calcarifer (barramundi perch), 529 nucleotides long. RefSeq lists it as uncharacterized. The transcript is spliced from 3 exons. The record is from RefSeq and is a predicted model, not a curated record. NCBI's taxonomy places the organism in Eukaryota, Metazoa, Chordata, Actinopteri, Centropomidae.
AAAAUGUCAGUAUAGUAAGGUGUCAAAAACUGUCAAAAAAUGUCAGUAUAGUAAGGUGUCAAAAACCGUCAAAAAAUGUCAUAGUAUAGUAAGACAUAAAAAGUGGUCAAAAAAUGCCAUAGUAUAGUAAGGUGUCAAAAAACAUCAAAAAUGUCAUAGUAUAGUAAGACAUGAAAAAUGGCCAAAAAAUGUCAUAGUAUAGUAAGGCGUUAAAAACCAUCAAAAAAUGCCAUAGUAUAGUAAAGUGUCAAAAAAUGUCAGUAUAGUAAGGUGUCAAAAACUGUCAAAAAAUGUCAUAGUAUAGUAAGGCGUUAAAAACCAUCAAAAAAUGCCAUGGUAUAGUAAAGUGUCAAAAACCAUCAAAAAAUGUCAUAGUAUAGUGUGGCGUCAAAAACCAUCAAAAAUAUCAUAGUAUAGUAAGACAUGAAAAAUAGCCAAAAAAUGUCAUAGUAUAGUAAGGCGUCAAAAACUGUCAAAAAAUGCCAUGGUAUAGUAAAGUGUCAAAAACUGUCAAAAAAUGUCAGUAUAG